Triticum aestivum (bread wheat) is the source of this 135-nucleotide non-coding RNA. Lineage: Eukaryota; Viridiplantae; Streptophyta; Magnoliopsida; Poales; Poaceae. The record is from Rfam.
UAUAUACUUCCUCCGUCCCAAAAUUUUUAUCUUAAAUUUAUCUAGAUAUAAAUGUAUCUAAUACUAAAACAUGACUUGAUACAUCCGUAUUUAGACAAAUCUAAGACAGGAAUGUUCGGACGGAGAGAGUACUUA